RNAcentral lists this unclassified non-coding RNA (207 nucleotides) under Hevea brasiliensis (rubber tree). Lineage: Eukaryota; Viridiplantae; Streptophyta; Magnoliopsida; Malpighiales; Euphorbiaceae. The record is from RNAcentral.
UAAUCAAUGAUUUUACUUGACAUGAAAUGGCAUCAAUUUUGGAACAACCCUGAUAGAGUGAGGAACAUAGAAAAACUAAACAGACGAAAUGGGGAAGAAUUGAAACUGUACUAUUUGAUAAGAAUGGUAGUAAGCCUUGUUGAAGUACAAAUAUUCACUCUCUUCCCUUAAUACAAAAAUAAAACAUAAAGGUAGCAGACAAGAAAA